Molecule: ribosomal RNA, 1412 nt
Filed under: metagenome
Description: bacterial LSU rRNA
Rfam family: Bacterial large subunit ribosomal RNA
Source: RNAcentral
UAGAGAUAGGCAAAUCCGUCUCUCACAUAGCCUGAGAUCCGAUGCGUACCCCUCACGGGGGAAAUCAGUGAUCCUAUGCUGCCGAGAAAAGCAUCGACGCGAGGUUUUAGUCACCCGUACCCCAAACCGACUCAGGUGGGUAGGUAGAGAAUACCAAGGAGAUCGAGAGAAUCGUGGUUAAGGAACUCGGCAAAAUGCCCCCGUAACUUCGGGAGAAGGGGGGCCGGACGGGUGAAGGGAUUUACUCCUGGAGCCUAGAAGGCCGCAGAGACCAGUGGGAAGCGACUGUUUACUAAAAACACAGGUCCGUGCGAGGACGCAAGUCGGUGUAUACGGACUGACGCCUGCCCGGUGCUGGAAGGUUAAGAGGAAGGGUCAAACUUCGGUUGAAGCUCUGAAUUUAAGCCCCAGUAAACGGCGGUGGUAACUAUAACCAUCCUAAGGUAGCGAAAUUCCUUGUCGGGUGAGUUCCGACCUGCACGAAUGGCGUAACGACUUCCCAGCUGUCUCAACCGCGAACUCGGCGAAAUUGCACUACGAGUAAAGAUGCUCGUUACGCGCAGCAGGACGGAAAGACCCCGUGACCUUUACUACAGCUUGGUAUUGGUGUUCGGUGUGGCUUGUGUAGGAUAGGUGGGAGACUUUGAAGCUGGCACGCUAGUGUCGGUGGAGUCGUUGUUGAAAUACCACUCUGGUCACUCUGGAUAUCUAACUACGAACCGUAAUCCGGUUCUGGGACAGUGCCUGGUGGGUAGUUUAACUGGGGCGGUUGCCUCCCAAAAAGUAACGGAGGCGCCCAAAGGUUCCCUCAACCUGGUUGGCAAUCAGGUGUCGAGUGUAAGUGCACAAGGGAGCUUGACUGUGAGAGUGACGGCUCGAGCAGGGACGAAAGUCGGGACUAGUGAUCCGGCAGUGGCUUGUGGAAGCGCUGUCGCUCAACGGAUAAAAGGUACCUCGGGGAUAACAGGCUGAUCUUGCCCAAGAGUCCAUAUCGACGGCAUGGUUUGGCACCUCGAUGUCGGCUCGUCGCAUCCUGGGGCUGGAGUAGGUCCCAAGGGUUGGGCUGUUCGCCCAUUAAAGCGGUACGCGAGCUGGGUUUAGAACGUCGUGAGACAGUUCGGUCCCUAUCCGCUGCGCGCGUAGGAAAUUUGAGAAGAUCUAUCCCUAGUACGAGAGGACCGGGAUGGACGAACCUCUGGUGUGUCAGUUGUUCCGCCAGGAGCACCGCUGAUUAGCUACGUUCGGACCGGAUAACCGCUGAAAGCAUCUAAGCGGGAAGCCGUCUUCAAGAUGAGAUUUCCAUCCCUUAGGGGGAGAGGCUCCCAGCUAGACGACUGGGUUGAUAGGCAGGAUGUGGAAGUGGGACUAAAGACCCACGGAGCUGACCUGUACUAAUAAGCCGAUAACUUGAU